This 370-nucleotide ribosomal RNA is filed under the name uncultured cyanobacterium. RNAcentral's name for it is "bacterial SSU rRNA". It matches the Rfam family "Bacterial small subunit ribosomal RNA", at positions 384 to 770 of the family's 1533-position model. Lineage: Bacteria; Bacillati; Cyanobacteriota. The record is from RNAcentral.
UGACGGAGCAACGCCGCGUGAGUGAUGAAGGCCUACUGGUCGUAAAGCUCUUUUGUCAGGGACGAAACCUGACGGUACCUGACGAAUAAGCAUCGGCUAACUCCGUGCCAGCAGCCGCGGUAAUACGGAGGAUGCAAGCGUUAUCCGGAUUUAUUGGGCGUAAAGCGUACGUAGGUGGCCAAAUAAGUCUGGGGUUAAAGCCUGCAGCCCAACUGCAGAAAAGCCUCGGAAACUAUUUAGCUAGAGUGCGGUAGGGGUAAGGGGAAUUCCCGGUGUAGCGGUGAAAUGUGGAGAUAUCGGGAAGAACACCAGCGGCGAAAGCGCCUUACUGGACCGCAACUGACGCUGAGGUACGAAAGCCAGGGGAGCA